Molecule: ribosomal RNA, 402 nt
Filed under: uncultured bacterium
Lineage: Bacteria
Description: partial 16S ribosomal RNA
Rfam family: Archaeal small subunit ribosomal RNA
Source: RNAcentral
CCACCGGCAGCCCAAGUGGUGGCCAUUUUUAUUGGGCCUAAAGCGUUCGUAGCCGGCCUGAUAAGUCUCUGGUGAAAUCCCGCAGCUUAACUGUGGGAAUUGCUGGAGAUACUAUCAUGACUCGAGGUCGGGAGAGGCUGGAGGUACUCCCAGGGUAGGGGGGAAAUCCUGUAAUCCUGGGAGGACCACCUGUGGCGAAGGCGUCCAGCUGGAACGAACCUGACGGUGAGGGACGAAAGCCAGGGGCGCGAACCGGAUUAGAUACCCGGGUAGUCCUGGCCGUAAACGAUGUGGACUUGGUGUUGGGAUGGCUUCGAGCUGCCCCAGUGCCGAAGGGAAGCUGUUAAGUCCACCGCCUGGGAAGUACGGCCGCAAGGCUGAAACUUAAAUGAAUUGGCGGGG